UACGUAGGGUGCGAGCGUUAAUCGGAAUUACUGGGCGUAAAGCGUGCGUAGGUGGUUUGUUAAGUCAGGUGUGAAAUCCUCGGGCUCAACCCGGGAACUGCGCUUGAUACUGGCAGACUCGAGUGUGGUAGAGGAUAGCGGAAUUCCCGGUGUAGCGGUGAAAUGCGUAGAUAUCGGGAGGAACAUCAGUGGCGAAGGCGGCUAUCUGGACCAACACUGACACUGAGGUACGAAAGCGUGGGUAGCAAACAGG
Molecule: ribosomal RNA, 253 nt
Filed under: uncultured bacterium
Lineage: Bacteria
Description: partial 16S ribosomal RNA
Rfam family: Bacterial small subunit ribosomal RNA
Source: RNAcentral